AACGAACGCUGGCGGCAGGCCUAACACAUGCAAGUCGAGCGAGGACUUCGGUCCUAGCGGCGGACGGGUGAGUAACGCGUGGGAACGUGCCCUUUGCUUCGGAAUAGCCCUGGGAAACUGGGAGUAAUACCGGAUGAGCCCUUUGGGGGAAAGAUUUAUCGGCGAAGGAUCGGCCCGCGUUGGAUUAGGGAGUUGGUGGGGUAAUGGCCUACCAAGCCGACGAUCCAUAGCUGGUUUGAGAGGAUGAUCAGCCACACUGGGACUGAGACACGGCCCAGACUCCUACGGGAGGCAGCAGUGGGGAAUCUUAGACAAUGGGGGAAACCCUGAUCUAGCCAUGCCGCGUGAGCGAUGAAGGCCUUAGGGUUGUAAAGCUCUUUCAGCUGGGAAGAUAAUGACGGUACCAGCAGAAGAAGCCCCGGCUAACUCCGUG
Molecule: ribosomal RNA, 433 nt
Filed under: uncultured bacterium
Lineage: Bacteria
Description: partial 16S ribosomal RNA
Rfam family: Bacterial small subunit ribosomal RNA
Source: RNAcentral